GUGGGGAAUAUUGGACAAUGGGCGAAAGCCUGAUCCAGCCAUGCCGCGUGUGUGAAGAAGGUCUUCGGAUUGUAAAGCACUUUAAGUUGGGAGGAAGGGCAUUAACCUAAUACGUUAGUGUUUUGACGUUACCGACAGAAUAAGCACCGGCUAACUCUGUGCCAGCAGCCGCGGUAAUACAGAGGGUGCAAGCGUUAAUCGGAAUUACUGGGCGUAAAGCGCGCGUAGGUGGUUCGUUAAGUUGGAUGUGAAAUCCCCGGGCUCAACCUGGGAACUGCAUCCAAAACUGGCGAGCUAGAGUAGGGCAGAGGGUGGUGGAAUUUCCUGUGUAGCGGUGAAAUGCGUAGAUAUAGGAAGGAACACCAGUGGCGAAGGCGACCACCUGGGCUCAUACUGACACUGAGGUGCGAAAGCGUGGGGAGCAAACAGGAUUAGAAACCCCGGUAGUCC
Molecule: ribosomal RNA, 450 nt
Filed under: uncultured bacterium
Lineage: Bacteria
Description: partial 16S ribosomal RNA
Rfam family: Bacterial small subunit ribosomal RNA
Source: RNAcentral